AGUGAACGCUGGCGGUAGGCCUAACACAUGCAAGUCGAACGGCAGCACAGUAAGAGCUUGCUCUUACGGGUGGCGAGUGGCGGACGGGUGAGGAAUACAUCGGAAUCUACUUUUUCGUGGGGGAUAACGUAGGGAAACUUACGCUAAUACCGCAUACGACCUACGGGUGAAAGCGGGGGAUCUUCGGACCUUGCGCGAUUGAAUGAGCCGAUGUCGGAUUAGCUAGUUGGCGGGGUAAAGGCCCACCAAGGCGACGAUCCGUAGCUGGUCUGAGAGGAUGAUCAGCCACACUGGAACUGAGACACGGUCCAGACUCCUACGGGAGGCAGCAGUGGGGAAUAUUGGACAAAGGGCGCAAGCCUGAUCCAGCCAUACCGCGUGGGUGAAGAAGGCCUUCGGGUUGUAAAGCCCUUUUGUCGGGAAAGAAAAGCAGCAGGUUAAUACCCCGCUGUUCUGACGGUACCCAAAGAAUAAGCACCGGCUAACUUCGUG
This 492-nucleotide ribosomal RNA is filed under the name uncultured bacterium. RNAcentral's name for it is "partial 16S ribosomal RNA". It matches the Rfam family "Bacterial small subunit ribosomal RNA", at positions 29 to 507 of the family's 1533-position model. The record is from RNAcentral.